UACGGGGGGAGCAAGCGUUGUUCGGAUUUACUGGGCGUAAAGGGCGCGUAGGCGGUCAGCACAAGUCAGUUGUGAAAUCUCCGGGCUUAACUCGGAAAGGUCAACUGAUACUGUGCGACUAGAGUGCAGAAGGGGCAACUGGAAUUCUCGGUGUAGCGGUGAAAUGCGUAGAUAUCGGGAAGAACACCGGUGGCGAAGGCGGCUCGCUGGGCCAUUGCUGACGCUGAGGCGCGAAAGCGUGGGGAGCAAACAGG
This 254-nucleotide ribosomal RNA is filed under the name uncultured bacterium. Its description in RNAcentral is "partial 16S ribosomal RNA". It matches the Rfam family "Bacterial small subunit ribosomal RNA", at positions 524 to 776 of the family's 1533-position model. The record is from RNAcentral.